Molecule: long non-coding RNA, 1403 nt
Organism: Gossypium arboreum
Lineage: Eukaryota; Viridiplantae; Streptophyta; Magnoliopsida; Malvales; Malvaceae
Exons: 2
Source: RefSeq, a predicted model, not a curated record
UACAAUUAAGAUGCACAAAUUGAGUCAGCUAUUUUUCGUACGCCUUAUACUGCAAAUUUUUACUCCGACAGACAUUAAUGGACAGUAGAUAGUCAUUGAAAACGAAAAUAUGUCAUCAUACCUCUUAGAAAUGAGCUCCAAACAUAGGGCUUUGGGAGAUAAUUAAUUAAGUAGAAUCAGUUAAAGGGCAACUCUCCUUUGGCGGGUUCUCGUUGAACUAGAUCCAGAUUUAUCAUCCACGACCAUGAACCUGCCAAAGGAGAGAAGCCCUACAACUAGUUCACUUAGCUGAUAAUUUUCAUUUUCUUGUGGCACAAAAGAAAAAGGGUGUAAACUGCAGUUGUGAUUUAAGCAAAAGGGUACAGCCGGAGAUUUAUAGGGUCUUGUACCAGUGGGAGAAGUUGUUUAAGGCAUAGCAUAUGCGGAGGAUAUCCUUUGGUGCCUGCUUUCUACGCAUUUCCAUGCAAAGCAAAGGCUCCUUUUAUCUUAAAAAGCCUCUUCCAAAUAUUUGACAGAUUCUAUAAUUAGUUUGAUUGAUUUAGACCUAUGAUUGUUUCUAAUAGUUCUCGUUUCAUUGUGUCCAUAUCCAUCUCUAGAAGGUGAAGGGAGGAAGAAAAAAAAAAUAAAAGGAAGAAAGAGUCAAGGCGAGAUGCUUCGCUUUUCAGAAUAGUAUGUGGCAGCCAAAUAUGGACCUAGGGGUAUAUCCUUUAUAAUAUUCUUUUUUGUUUUAAACCUGCUUAAAGAUAUUUUUUUUCCCUGGCUUUUGAGUGUAAUCUUCUUCAUCCAAUGAGAAAAUUUCCCAGCAGAUUGUCAAAUUAUUUGCGAUUUCCCUUUGUUUUCCACUUCCACAUGCUUGAUGUUGUGAAAAACUCCCUUCCUCUCCUCUAUUUUACAAGUUAAAAGAUAGCAGAAACGUUUAUAUUUGUAUGCAUCUAUAACAGGUAAAACCACAGAAGUAGUCAAAGCAUGACAAAGGGAUCAACAAAACAGUUCAGAUAUUUAGAAUAGUAGUCAUAAGCAAUGUGGCAGCUGCUUUGGAUCUGGGAAUUUUUCAUAAUCACUGAGCUUAAUUUUCUAACUAAUUAAGCUGAACUUUCAAACGAGUACAAGGUUUGAAUCUCAACUAUUACAAUCCUUUCCCUUAUUAUCUUUUGCGCUAAAAACUAAAAUGAUGUAAAGCUAUAGUAUUAGCAGCAGUAGUAGUGUAAACAGAAUUGCAGAACAAGUAUAUAUAUAUAUAAUAUAUGAUUUCUAAUGUCAAGCAUUCAUAACUGCAGCUUUUCACAUAUGAUUUAAACUUCAAAUUUGCUAGUCAUUUCUUAACCAAAACAAGGAAAAUUAAAUCAACUUCAAUGACUUGGAUUCUUAAUUGGCUAUUCUCUCACUCAAUAUCUUCACACCCA